UUUUUUCUCUUUCAUUCUCAAGUUCUUAUGACUCCAGUGUGCUGUGGUUCUGAGUACCUUCUGGACCCUGGACACAGCAAGAAGGUGGCUGUCUACAAGCCAGGAAGAAGGUCCUCAUGAGGAAUCAAAUCUUCUGGCACCUUGAUCUUGGACUUCCCAGCCUCCAGAACUGUGGAUCAGGAAAGGGAAA
Long non-coding RNA from Lemur catta (Ring-tailed lemur), 190 nucleotides. RefSeq lists it as uncharacterized. The transcript has 3 exons. NCBI's taxonomy places the organism in Eukaryota, Metazoa, Chordata, Mammalia, Primates, Lemuridae. The record is from RefSeq and is a predicted model, not a curated record.